Phyllostomus hastatus (greater spear-nosed bat) is the source of this 452-nucleotide long non-coding RNA. RefSeq lists it as uncharacterized. Lineage: Eukaryota; Metazoa; Chordata; Mammalia; Chiroptera; Phyllostomidae. The transcript is spliced from 4 exons. The record is from RefSeq and is a predicted model, not a curated record.
GAUUAGGAGCCAAUCAGCGGGCCCUCCAGGAAGUCAAGGCUCAGGGGUGGACCGGGAGCUUAGCUUCCGGUGGCAGGGUCUGGGGAAGGGGCGGCAGGCGCCAUGUCCGGCCGCGAAGGUGGCAAGAAGAAGCCCCUGAAACAGCCCAAGAAGCAGGCCAAGGAGAUGGACGAGGAAGAUAAGGCAUUCAAGCAGAAGCAAAAAGAGGAGCAGAAGAAACUUGAGGAGCUAAAAGCGAAGGCCGCGGGGAAGGGCCCCCUGGCCACAGGUGGAAUUAAGAAAUCUGGCAAAAAGUGAGCCGUUCCUGUGGCUGGGGCACUGGCGAUCCUUCAUUCCCUUCCUGCUUUAACAUCUGGGUUCCCUGCCGUAACAUCUCUUGCCACCUGUAGCUAGAAUGAAGUGUCAUCUGGGAGCCUGUUGUACAUUUAAGAAUAAACUUUUGUAAAAAAUAA